CAAAAACAUUUCUUAAUGUGAUAAUAUUAAGUAUAACCUGCUCAAUGAAAUAAAUAAAUAGCCGCAGAAAAUUUACUGUGCUAAGGUAGCAUAAUCAUUUGUCUUUUAAUUAAAGACUAGUACGAACGGUUCAACAUUUAAAUAAUUUUUUUUACUAUAAAAUUUAAAUUUAAAAUUAAGCAUAAAAAUUUGCUUAUAAAUAUAAAUGACGACAAGACCCUAUCGAACUUAACUGUUGUUAAGCUGGGGAAGCCAAAUAAUAAUAAUUUUAUUAAUUUUAUAUAAAUAAAUACCUAAUUCUAAAUAAAUUUAAUCAAGUUACCGUAGGGAUAACAGCGUAAUAAAUUUCUAAAGCUCUCAUUUAAAAAAAAGAUUACGACCUCGAUGUUGAAUUAAUUUUUCCUAUUAACGCAAUUGCUAAAACAGGUAAGUCUGUUCGACUUUUAAAAAAUUACAUGAUCUGAGUUCAAACCGG
RNAcentral lists this ribosomal RNA (475 nucleotides) under Carpathonesticus racovitzai. RNAcentral describes it as "partial 16S ribosomal RNA". It matches the Rfam family "Bacterial large subunit ribosomal RNA", at positions 1808 to 2619 of the family's 2925-position model. Lineage: Eukaryota; Metazoa; Arthropoda; Arachnida; Araneae; Nesticidae. The record is from RNAcentral.